AAACCAGCACCUCAAGUGGUCAGGAUGAUUAUUGGGCCUAAAGCAUCCGUAGCCUGAUCUGUAAGUUUUCGGUUAAAUCUGUACGCUCAACGUACAGGCUGCCGGGAAUACUGCAGAGCUAGGGAGUGGGAGAGGUAGACGGUACUCGGGAGGAAGUGGUAAAAUGCCUUGAUCUCUCGAUGACCACCUGUGGCGAAGGCGGUCUACCAGAACACAUCCGACGGUGAGGGAUGAAAGCUGGGGAGCAAACCGGAUUAGAAACCCGAGUAGUCC
RNAcentral lists this ribosomal RNA (273 nucleotides) under uncultured bacterium. RNAcentral describes it as "partial 16S ribosomal RNA". It matches the Rfam family "Archaeal small subunit ribosomal RNA", at positions 473 to 747 of the family's 1478-position model. The record is from RNAcentral.